UGAGGAAUAUUGGUCAAUGGACGAGAGUCUGAACCAGCCAAGUAGCGUGCAGGAUGACGGCCCUAUGGGUUGUAAACUGCUUUUGUUUGGGAAUAAUCGACAUUACGUGUAAUGUUUUGCAUGUACCAUUCGAAUAAGGACCGGCUAAUUCCGUGCCAGCAGCCGCGGUAAUACGGAAGGUCCAGGCGUUAUCCGGAUUCAUUGGGUUUAAAGGGAGCGUAGGCCGUUUGGUAAGCGUGUUGUGAAAUGUAGGAGCUCAACUUCUAGAUUGCAGCGCGAACUGUCAGACUUGAGUGCGCACAACGUAGGCGGAAUUCAUGGUGUAGCGGUGAAAUGCUUAGAUAUCAUGAAGAACUCCGAUUGCGAAGGCAGCUUACGGGAGCGCAACUGACGCUGAAGCUCGAAGGUGCGGGUAUCGAACAGG
This 424-nucleotide ribosomal RNA is filed under the name Verrucomicrobiota bacterium. Its description in RNAcentral is "Verrucomicrobia bacterium partial 16S ribosomal RNA". It matches the Rfam family "Bacterial small subunit ribosomal RNA", at positions 355 to 776 of the family's 1533-position model. The record is from RNAcentral. Lineage: Bacteria; Pseudomonadati; Verrucomicrobiota.